AACGAACGCUGGCGGCGUGCUUAAUACAUGCAAGUCGCACGAGAAAGUCCUUCGGGAUGAGUAGAGUGGCGCACGGGUGAGUAAUGCAUAGGAACGUACCUACGGGUGGGGAAUAACCACGGGAAACUGUGGCUAAUACCGCAUAACGACGAGAGUCCAAAGCAGGCCUCUAUUUAUAAGCUUGCACCGGUAGAGCGGCCUAUGUCCCAUUAGCUAGUUGGUAGGGUAAUGGCCUACCAAGGCGACGAUGGGUAGCUGGUCUUAGAGGAUGAUCAGCCACACUGGGACUGAGACACGGCCCAGACUCCUACGGGUGGCAG
Molecule: ribosomal RNA, 320 nt
Filed under: uncultured Pseudomonadota bacterium
Lineage: Bacteria; Pseudomonadati; Pseudomonadota
Description: bacterial SSU rRNA
Rfam family: Bacterial small subunit ribosomal RNA
Source: RNAcentral